RNAcentral lists this long non-coding RNA (862 nucleotides) under Ficedula albicollis (Collared flycatcher). Its description in RNAcentral is "lncRNA (ENSFALG00000024189.1)". The record is from RNAcentral. Lineage: Eukaryota; Metazoa; Chordata; Aves; Passeriformes; Muscicapidae.
UAAAGGAUUUUAUUUUCAUCUAGAGUCACAUGACGCCUUAAUACCCAAUGACACUAACUACAGUGUCUCAUUAAGAGGUCAUGCAAACUCCCAAGCUAAACAAGGCAUUCUUACAUAUUUAACAUUCAAAUGCAGAAGCCAAGCUAAGCCAUGGAAGAUUGUAAUCAGGAAAAGCUACACUUCCUGAUCCACACAAAAGCUACAGGUUCUUUAAACAGAAGGCAAACUGCUACCAUUUGGGGCUGAAUACUGGAGGUUAUUUUGGAAUGUGAAAGCUAAUUGCUGCUUGGAUCCAUGACAACCAUGUAGACACUAUUCACUUUAACAAUCUACACCAGCAUGGACCAAGACAUUUAAAACAAACCUUUCAAGCAGUCGAUGGAGUGCAAUCGGAAAGGUAGGAUUAUUUUUUUUCUCCUUGUGUAGGUUUAAAACUUACUGGACAUUCACUCUUGUGACUUCAGCAUUCCACAGCAUAAAUCAUCUCUCUUCACAGUACUCCACAAUAUUUUCUAAUGACAAUGCUGAGCUGUGAUAAGCUCUAGUGACAGAACAGAACUGUGUUUCUUUCCAACCCAUAAGUUUCCCAAUGUAGCACAUAAAAGCUUGCCAAUUUCCACUCUGAAGUCUAGAAAAAGACAUUGUACAGAAGAAAUACAGGAAUGCAAAAUUGGAUCAAAGACAGUUAACGCAGGUGAAAAUGGCGCAACAAAAUGUGAAAAUGCAGGCUAAUGGUAUGGGAAGAACAAGAAGAGUGGAAGGCAAGCAGGGAAAAGAGGGGGAUUUGGGAAGAGAAAACUAAUUGGAAAACAUAAGGAUUAAUUUGGUUUGAGAGGUAGAGUACACUGACAUCUAGCAGUUU